UAAGAAGUAUGGGAAAUGAAACUGGUCUGAAGCAAGCAUUCCCUCAUGCCUGAAAUGUUAUUAACAUUGCCGCGGAACACUUUUGUUGAAAGACCCUGCACAGUGUCCUUGAAUGUGAGUGGAAUCUGGGAAUACGGUACACUAUCAUUCUUGUGAUGCUGCUAUAUUCUACAGAAAAUGGAAGCUUAUUCCAAUGGAACGCUGCCCCAGGGAAGCUCAUCAGAGCAGUGCAUUUGGUUCUAUUGGCUCAGAAAGCAGAAUCAGAGAGCAGCCUUCCAGUGGCCUGCCGAGAGACAUGAACAUUGCACAGACCUCUGGGAACAUAACUGAAGGAGCCGUGGUGGCCUUGGGAGCUGAGUGUGACAUCAGGCUGGCAGCUAGCAAGAACAACGUAGGGUACCUGCUCUACCAUAGGAGCUGAAUCCUGCCAACCGGCCAACGACUCUUGGCAACAUAGCGGCGGCCUUUAUUACAGCUUGGGAGACUCUAAGCAGAGGGACCCAGUUUAUUUGGCCACAUACUUCUGCUCUUCUGAAAGCCUGUGGCAAUAAGUUAGCCUUGUUUUAGCUUCCUGUUUAUGCUAAUUGGUUCCCAGCGGCAGAAUACUAAUCUCCUCCCCAGACUUCCUCAGCACCUUUCUUCUGCCCUCUGAUACACCCAUCUCUUCUCUUAAUUGCUGCUGGCUGCUGCAAAGCCCGACUGCAUAAAUCAUUAUAGUGCAGGAUUUGGAAGAGUCUCUCUCCUUCAAGACUCCCUUUAGAAGGCUGCCAGAAGAAGGUGUGGCCCAGAUUAAAAGCAGAUCUCCCCACCCCAAAAGAUGCAGAUUAAAGAGGCUACAAAACCGUAGAAGCAUUUACACAUACUGCAAGAUGUGAGACUUAUGUUAAGAGACUGGGAAUCAACACUGGCGGUUACAGCGGUUGUCAUCUUCUGCCUUGCUGCCGUCUUCCUCGGCUGAUAGAUAUUCCAGUCAGGUGCCUCAGAGGCACACUGGUCUGUAUCCUGACAGGCAAUGUGCAUAUUGGCUCCAGAUGACUGGAUGGAAGAAUGCAGCCGUCCUCCAAGCUGUAAACACAAGAGUGUGGCAUCUAUUCGCUUGGGUCUCCUCCUUGGCUGUCGUCAUAUCAAUAUGUGGUGGGUUUUCUAAGGAGAAUUCCAUCCAUAUCUGUCUUUGUAUGCAGAAUCCAGGAAGUCUGGGCUUUCUCACUGGCUUGGUUGCAGACACACCGAACAUGGGCGAGUUGCCUCCGUCUUUGUCUAUGCCUCUCACCCUCACCCUCAGACAAUGUCUGCAGAAUGUUGGAUGGUCCUUGCUGGUACGCAGUAUGUACUUGCAAACUGUUCAGGUUUUCUUUUCUGUCCUAAAUUUCUUAUUCUUUUUUCUUAGAGAAACCUAGUUUUAAUUUUAAAGCAUCUUAAAGCACGGGCGCGUGACAAUACAAACUCAUUUUAGUUUUAGAAGGUAUUUUUAAAUAAAAAGUCCAGUCCGAUGGCAUGCUCCAGAGGUACAGCUUGACAUUUUCCUCUGAUGCAAAUGCCCACAAUAACAAUUUACCAUCGCCUUAAUUUUUAUGAUCAAGCCCAAAGGAUGUAUGUAUUGUGUCCCUUUAGAAAGAUAAGGCUCUUGGCUUAUUUGUACUCCACCCUUAAAAACUGCCAGAUUUUUUUUUCUGUUCUUUGAAACACUUCUAGAGAUGUAAAUGGUACCUCCAACCUUCUGUCUCCCAGUUUAUUACCUUGGCAACACUUCUUGCUGUUCCUCUAAGACAAUAGGAGGUUUAACAGCUCGGCCUUCCUGUCCCAUCUCUCCCUUAUGGCUACUCAUAGAUUGGCUUCAGUUCAUCAGAUAGUUAAUUUUACAUGGUCAAAAUUCAUAUAAUGUUUACAAUAUUUUAUGCACUCACUUGCUUUUUCUGUGUUUUGGUUGUUUUUGAGGUUUAGAAAUAGAAUUUCUAGUAUUUUUGUUAAGAGAAUAUUAUAUAAUAUGUAACAAGUGUCAUUCUGUUCAAAUAAAAAUAUGUAUUGAUUACA
Mus musculus (house mouse) is the source of this 2031-nucleotide long non-coding RNA. RefSeq annotates it as predicted gene, 36920. Lineage: Eukaryota; Metazoa; Chordata; Mammalia; Rodentia; Muridae. The record is from RefSeq and is a predicted model, not a curated record. The transcript has 4 exons.